This 787-nucleotide ribosomal RNA is filed under the name uncultured bacterium. Its description in RNAcentral is "bacterial SSU rRNA". It matches the Rfam family "Bacterial small subunit ribosomal RNA", at positions 97 to 897 of the family's 1533-position model. The record is from RNAcentral.
GGCGGACGGGUGAGUAACGCGUAGGAAUGUGUCCUGGAGUGGGGGAUAACCCUCGGAAACGAGAGCUAAUACCGGAUACGACCACCUCGGGCAUCCGAUGGUGGUGGAAAGUUCCGGCGGUGAAGGAUGAGCUCGCGGCCUAUCAGCUUGUUGGUGGGGUAAUGGCCCACCAAGGCAACGACGGGUAGCCGGCCUGAGAGGGUGACCGGCCACACUGGGACUGAGACACGGCCCAGACUCCUACGGGAGGCAGCAGUGGGGAAUAUUGGACAAUGGGCGAAAGCCUGAUCCAGCAACGCCGCGUGAGGGAUGACGGCCUUCGGGUUGUAAACCUCUUUCAGCUCCGACGAAGCGAAAGUGACGGUAGGAGCAGAAGAAGCACCGGCCAACUACGUGCCAGCAGCCGCGGUAAUACGUAGGGUGCGAGCGUUGUCCGGAAUUAUUGGGCGUAAAGGGCUCGUAGGCGGUCUGUCACGUCGGGAGUGAAAACUCAGGGCUUAACCCUGAGCCUGCUUCCGAUACGGGCAGACUAGAGGUAUGCAGGGGAGAAUGGAAUUCCUGGUGUAGCGGUUAAAUGCGCAGAUAUCAGACGAACACCAGUGGCGAAGGCGGUUCUCUGGGCAUUACCUGACGCUGAGGAGCGAAAGUGUGGGGAGCGAACAGGAUUAGAUACCCUGGUAGUCCACACCGUAAACGUUGGGCGCUAGGUGUGGGGACUCAUUCCACGAGUUCCGUGCCGCAGCUAACGCAUUAAGCGCCCCGCCUGGGGNGUACGGCCGCAGGNUAA